Molecule: non-coding RNA, 1776 nt
Organism: Prunus avium (sweet cherry)
Lineage: Eukaryota; Viridiplantae; Streptophyta; Magnoliopsida; Rosales; Rosaceae
Source: RefSeq, a predicted model, not a curated record
UCCCGCCAGUGCCAAGUUAGAGUGCCCGCGACUCUUUUUUGUCUGAGAGAGAGUGAGGAAGGGAGAGAGAGAGAGAGAGUCGGGCGAUGGAAUUUAGUGUGAGCGGGAACGCCCUGAAGACCUUCGCUCGCUCAAUCACGUGCCUCGCACGCGUCGGAAACGAGCUCGCCAUCCAAGCUUCGUCUUCUCAGUUUGCUUUGCACACUCUCAAUUCGUCACGGUCUGCCUAUCACUCAAGUACAUUUAAGCCUGAAUUCUUUGAUGUCUAUACUAUAUCCUGUAACCAGGUGCAAUGUAGUGUGCUUUUGAAGGCUGUUUGUUCUGUGCUUAGGACACCUUUAGCAAGUAUAGAUCAUUUGAGCGUACGAUUGCCUGAUCCCGAUGCAUCAAAAAUGCAAUGGACUUUAGAAUGCUACAGUGGUAUGAAAAAAUCCUAUUGGAUUAUUUGCAAUGUUGAACCAGACAUACAACAUCUAUCUCUUGAUAGGAGACGAUUCCCAAGCAGCUUAGUUGUGAGACCUCGAGAUCUAAACAGAUUGCUUGCUAAUUUUCAGUCAUCGCUUCAGGAGAUUACCAUCAUAGCAACAGAACCCACUUCCGUGCCUUCUGAUCUAGCAAGUGAAAUUGGAGGAAAAGCUGUCGAACUUAGAAGUUAUAUUGACCCGACCAAAGACAGCGACUCAUCACUGCAUACUCAACUAUGGAUAGACCCUGCAGAAGAGUUUGUGCAGUAUACCCACACGGGAGACCCCAUAGAUGUGACGUUUGCUGUGAAAGAGUUGAAGGCAUUCCUUUCCUUCUGUGAGGGCUGUGAAGUUGACAUUCACUUGUAUUUUGAGAAAGCUGGAGAGCCUAUUCUAAUGGCACCCAAGUUCGGUCUAGAUGAUGGGUCCACUUCAAAUUUUGAUGCUACACUUGUACUUGCAACCAUGCUAGUGUCGCAGCUCCAUGAAAGCAAUACCUCAGAACCUCCACAAGCAGCUACUGCAAUGCAUGUUCAGGAAGAUCAUGGGACAGGGUCAGAACCAGGACGAGAAAGGUGUGGAACAAAUGUUUCGGAGCAUCCAUCUGAUCACACCAGAAUUUGGUCUGAUCUUUCAGGAAGUGGUGCAAGAAGUGGCAGUGGUGCCGAAGCAGGACAGGCUCAAGGGGAAAGAAAUUUGAGUGCUAAUGGACAGAGAGAAAUUCAAAGGAUGAGCACAAUGCAUAUUUCAAAGCCUGCAUGUGCUAGGGAAAGUGAACCUGUGCAGGAGGAUCAUAUGGAAGAACCUCGAGAUAGGUCACAAAUUAACGGUGAUGGCUUUUCACAACGUCAUCCUAGCAACUGGAUAGAUGCAGAUGAGGAUGAUAGUGAUGAGGAUGGAGAGGAGAAUGAACUCUGUAUUCCGUCAACACCACCAUACUAUGAAGAACAUUAGGAUUAUUUGCUGUAGUAAAGGUUUGCUGAAUUUCUUCUCUUUCUUAUGUUGUGGGACCCCUUAACACGUAGUUAUCUCCUGCAGUUGAGCAAUUUGUGGUUUUUCUCGUUAAUGUCAGCAUGAUCCCUGAACAUAGCUUACAUGACAGGAUGUCAUCAACCUUUGUAUUAUUUUCUCAUUUAUUCUAAUUUUGUUGUUGUUGUUGAUCUUUUGGUAUGGUUAGAAUAGUUCAGACUGGUUGUGGGUUUCUUUUUCUUAUGUGCUUUUCAACACCUAGAGCUGUUGUAAGAUAAAAAAAUACUGUUGCUGGGGCUGUUCGGGAAUUCAGAUACUUGAGGGCAUUUCUGUCCAUAUGUGA